GACUAUUAUAGAAGGUAAAUCCUGCCCAGUGACCUAGGUUCAACGGCCGCGGAAUAACUCCCGUGCUAAGGUAGCAUAUAAUAUACUCUUUAAUUAAGGGAUAGAAUGAAAGGACAAACGAAAGCACCACUGUCUCUCAAAUAUCAACUUUAAAUUAUCCUUUAGGUGAAAAGACCUAAAUUAAUCUAAAAGACAAAAAGACCCUGUAGAGCUUUAUUCUUAAUUCUCUAAACUAAAUACGCCUAUAUUAAGUUAGUAGUAAAUUAAAAAUUUGGCUGGGGCGGCAAAAGAGCACACAACCCUCUUUUAUAUAUUAGGACCAUCCUCCUUACAACAAAGAUCCUUUAAUGAUUUUCAAAAAUAGCUACCUCAGGGAUAACAGACUAAUUCCUUCUAAGAGCACCUAUUGAAGAAGGAGAUUGGCACCUCGAUGUUGGCUUAGAGUAUCCUAAAGGGUUGCAUACGCCUUUAAGGUAGGUU
RNAcentral lists this ribosomal RNA (480 nucleotides) under Branchiomaldane vincenti. RNAcentral describes it as "partial 16S ribosomal RNA". It matches the Rfam family "Bacterial large subunit ribosomal RNA", at positions 1837 to 2577 of the family's 2925-position model. The record is from RNAcentral. Lineage: Eukaryota; Metazoa; Annelida; Polychaeta; Arenicolidae.